RNAcentral lists this ribosomal RNA (703 nucleotides) under Lodderomyces parapsilosis. RNAcentral's name for it is "Candida parapsilosis partial large subunit ribosomal RNA". It matches the Rfam family "Eukaryotic large subunit ribosomal RNA", at positions 199 to 920 of the family's 3401-position model. The record is from RNAcentral. Lineage: Eukaryota; Fungi; Ascomycota; Pichiomycetes; Serinales; Debaryomycetaceae.
AACGUCACAGAGGGUGAGAAUCCCGUGCGAUGAGAUGUCCCAGACCUAUGUAAAGUUCCUUCGAAGAGUCGAGUUGUUUGGGAAUGCAGCUCUAAGUGGGUGGUAAAUUCCAUCUAAAGCUAAAUAUUGGCGAGAGACCGAUAGCGAACAAGUACAGUGAUGGAAAGAUGAAAAGAACUUUGAAAAGAGAGUGAAAAAGUACGUGAAAUUGUUGAAAGGGAAGGGCUUGAGAUCAGACUUGGUAUUUUGUAUGUUACUCUCUCGGGGGUGGCCUCUACAGUUUACCGGGCCAGCAUCAGUUUGAGCGGUAGGAUAAGUGCAAAGAAAUGUGGCACUGCUUCGGUAGUGUGUUAUAGUCUUUGUCGAUACUGCCAGCUUAGACUGAGGACUGCGGCUUCGGCCUAGGAUGUUGGCAUAAUGAUCUUAAGUCGCCCGUCUUGAAACACGGACCAAGGAGUCUAACGUCUAUGCGAGUGUUUGGGUGUAAAACCCGUACGCGUAAUGAAAGUGAACGUAGGUAGGACCUCCUUUAGGAGUGCACUAUCGACCGAUCCUGAUGUCUUCGGAUGGAUUUGAGUAAGAGCAUAGCUGUUGGGACCCGAAAGAUGGUGAACUAUGCCUGAAUAGGGUGAAGCCAGAGGAAACUCUGGUGGAGGCUCGUAGCGGUUCUGACGUGCAAAUCGAUCGUCGAAUUUGGGUAUAG